AUUGAACGCUGGCGGCAUGCCUUACACAUGCAAGUCGAACGGCAGCACGGGGGCAACCCUGGUGGCGAGUGGCGAACGGGUGAGUAACAUAUCGGAACAUACCCUAGAGUGGGGGAUAACGUAGCGAAAGUUACGCUAAUACCGCAUACGAUCUAAGGAUGAAAGUGGGGGAUCUUCGGACCUCAUGCUCAUGGAGUGGCCGAUAUCUGAUUAGCUAGUUGGUGAGGUAAAGGCUCACCAAGGCGACGAUCAGUAGCUGGUUUGAGAGAACGACCAGCCACACUGGAACUGAGACACGGUCCAGACUCCUACGGAGGCAGCAGUGGGGAAUUUUGGGACAAUGGGGGCAACCCUGAUCCAGCAAUGCCGCGUGAGUGAAGAAGGGCCUUCGGGUUGUUGGAAGGCGUCCUUUUUGUUCUAGGGAAGAAACGGUAGAGUCUAAUACAGCUUGCUAAUGACGGUACCUGAAG
RNAcentral lists this ribosomal RNA (470 nucleotides) under uncultured bacterium. Its description in RNAcentral is "bacterial SSU rRNA". It matches the Rfam family "Bacterial small subunit ribosomal RNA", at positions 30 to 484 of the family's 1533-position model. The record is from RNAcentral.